AGUGAACGCUGGCGGUAGGCCUAACACAUGCAAGUCGAACGGCAGCACAGGAGAGCUUGCUCUCUGGGUGGCGAGUGGUGGACGGGUGAGGAAUACAUCGGAAUCUACUCUGUCGUGGGGGAUAACGUAGGGAAACUUACGCUAAUACCGCAUACGACCUACGGGUGAAAGCAGGGGACCUUCGGGCCUUGCGCGAUUGAAUGAGCCGAUGUCGGAUUAGCUAGUUGGCGGGGUAAAGGCCCACCAAGGCGACGAUCCGUAGCUGGUCUGAGAGGAUGGUCAGGCACACUGGAACUGAGACACGGGCCAGACUCCUACGGGAGGGAGGAGUGGGGAAUAGUGGACAAUGGGCGCAAGCCUGAUCCAGCCAUACCGCGUGGGUGAAGAAGGCCUUCGGGUUGUAAAGCCCUUUUGUUGGGAAAGAAAUCCAGCUGGCUAAUACCCGGUUGGGAUGACGGUACCCAAAGAAUAAGCACCGGCUAACUUCGUGCCAGCCGCCGCCGUAA
This 506-nucleotide ribosomal RNA is filed under the name uncultured bacterium. Its description in RNAcentral is "partial 16S ribosomal RNA". It matches the Rfam family "Bacterial small subunit ribosomal RNA", at positions 29 to 523 of the family's 1533-position model. The record is from RNAcentral.